UUUCCGUAGGUGAACCUGCGGAAGGAUCAUUAUUGUAUAACCGAGGUGCGAGGGCUGUCGCUGACCCGAAAGGUCGUGCACGCCCGAGUGCCCUCACACACAUCCAUCUCACCCCUAUGUGCACCACCGCGUGGGUCCCCCUUUGGCUUGUUCGGAGGGGGGCUUACGUUUUCACACAAACUCUGUAUGCAGUGUAGAAUGUAUUUUUUGUUUUUGCGAUCACGCAAUCAAUACAACUUUCAACAAUGGAUCUCUUGGCUCUC
RNAcentral lists this unclassified non-coding RNA (263 nucleotides) under plant metagenome. Its description in RNAcentral is "partial contains small subunit ribosomal RNA, internal transcribed spacer 1, and 5.8S ribosomal RNA". The record is from RNAcentral.